AGAAUAACAUCUAUGUCAUUACUUUUAAAGCAUUUGCAAGACAGAAAACUUUUAUCAGAAGAUGCUGCAGAAAUGUUACAAGUAAGUUGUACAAAUAUCUGUCAUACACAUACAUGAUAUAAUGAAUGAAUUACAAAGAAAUAAAUUUUGUGUAUGGAAAGCAUAUAGAUUGAUAUAUGAAUGUUUCAAUGACGGAAAAAGAAAUAAUAAAGAGACACUUGAGUA
This is a long non-coding RNA of Cyphomyrmex costatus, 225 nucleotides long. RefSeq lists it as uncharacterized. The record is from RefSeq and is a predicted model, not a curated record. Lineage: Eukaryota; Metazoa; Arthropoda; Insecta; Hymenoptera; Formicidae. The transcript is spliced from 2 exons.